This 332-nucleotide unclassified non-coding RNA is filed under the name soil metagenome. Its description in RNAcentral is "partial contains 5.8S ribosomal RNA, internal transcribed spacer 2, and large subunit ribosomal RNA". The stretch from base 1 to 120 matches the Rfam family "5.8S ribosomal RNA", at positions 35 to 154 of the family's 154-position model. The record is from RNAcentral.
GAUGAAGAACGCAGCGAAAUGCGAUAAGUAAUGUGAAUUGCAGAAUUCAGUGAAUCAUCGAAUCUUUGAACGCACAUUGCGCCCCCUGGUAUUCCGGGGGGCAUGCCUGUUCGAGCGUCGUUUCACCACUCAAGCCUCGCUUGGUAUUGGGCGACGCGGUCCGCCGCGCGCCUCAAAUCGACCGGCUGGGUCUUUCGUCCCCUCAGCGUUGUGGAAACUAUUCGCUAAAGGGUGCCGCGGGAGGCCACGCCGUAAAACAACCCCAUUUCUAAGGUUGACCUCGGAUCAGGUAGGGAUACCCGCUGAACUUAAGCAUAUCAAUAAGCGGAGGA